AGCUUAAAAAGGCACUUGAGGAAAACAAAGACUUGAAACUACAAAUAGCUGUCUUACGCCAGAGAAUAAAGACACUUGAAAGUCGGCUGACUGUUCAAGUUGUCAGAAAUAAAUAUGAGAAAAAAAAAACCAACCAGUCCUCUGAGACCGAAUUUGAUAAAAUUUUAAUAUCUUACGAGAAGUUCCUCAGGGGACCAUUUCCCACGCCUAAACGGAGCCAGAAUGCGCGGCAGAGGGUGGAGACUGUACGUCAAUUUGCCAACCAUGCUUUUAAAAAUGUAGUCCCACUGGUAAAUGGGACUCCAUUUUAAAUGAGGAGGUUUUCUUUGGUUUUAUCAAAAUGCUCAAAGAGCACAAUUAUCGUGCCACCACAAUGGUGCACAAGUUUGUGGACCUUUCACACUUUUUUAGAUUGGUAAAGGAGGCAGGCCCCGAUGGGAUUAGAGUCUCAAAGAAAGCCCUUAAACGUGCUCUUCUUAUAAUAAAAAUGUGCACGAAGGAGGAGUCAAAAAACAGGCAGGCCUGGCAGCAGGAGGUCCACCUAUUGAAAUCUGAAAACCUUUUGGAUCCAGCUGCCCAUGCUGAGUUUAUAAGGGCCGCUUCGGAGGUGCUUCCGAAUAUAUUGCAUAA
Molecule: long non-coding RNA, 630 nt
Organism: Cyprinus carpio (common carp)
Lineage: Eukaryota; Metazoa; Chordata; Actinopteri; Cypriniformes; Cyprinidae
Exons: 4
Source: RefSeq, a predicted model, not a curated record